UAAUGGCGAAUGAACAGGGAAAAGCCCAGCACUGAAUCCCGCAGCUUUACGCUGUUGGGAAUUGUGGUGUUUAGGACUUCUUAUUCGUUUGGAGACCCACCUAAAGUUCACUUGAUUGUGACUCUAGGCCCAGGGAGGGUGUAAGGCCCGUCUGGGUGGGUUUUCUUGCGUCUGAGUUGUCCUUAGAGUCGGGUUGUUUGAGAUUGCAGCCCAAAGUGGGUGGUAAACUCCAUCUAAGGCUAAAUACUGAACACUAGUCCGAUAGUCAACAAGUACCGUGAGGGAAAGUUGAAAAGAACUUUGAAGAGAGAGUUCAAUAGUGCGUGAAGCCGUCUAGAGGUAAACGGAUGGGGCCGAAAAAGGCUGUGGGGAUUCAGCCAGUGAGGCGGCGAUGUUGUAUUUAUUCGACCUCAUUUAGGGGCGGAUGGUGCGAUAUGCUGUUGCUUUGUUGGUGCACUUUCCCAUAGUCUGCACUAUGACCGGCGGUUUGGCGGUCUGUCGUUGGAUGGCGGUAGCGUCGGUUUCGGCUGGCGUGAAACAUCUGACACGGAAUUGUCGAACUGUCGGGACUGCGAUGCAAGCCUUGAGGCGCAUAUGACAGGGGUUGAAUUGGUGCUGCUUUGGGCUGACUUCAAUGAAGGCUGUUCGAGGUGGCGCUAGUUUGGCCUGCCCUCUAUGAUUUGUGUCAAUAGUCUAUGGUGUUAAAGUAGGCAACCUAUCUGACCCGUCUUGAAACACGGACCAAGGAGUCUAGCAUGUACGCGAGUCAUUGAGCUUUACGAAACUCAAAGGCGAAGUGAAAGCAAAGACUUGCUUCGGCAGGUUUAGAUGUGAUCCGGGUUGUCCAAAAGACGCCCGGCGCAACAUCGGCCCGUCUUAACGUGUAUUACACAGGGGCGGCGCUAGAGCGUACAUGCUGAAACCCGAAAGAUGGUGAACUAUGCUUGCGCAGGUUGAAGCCAGAGGAAACUCUGGUGGAGGACCGUACCGAUUCUGACGUGCAAAUCGAUCGUCAGACUUGAGUAUAGGGGCGAAAGACUAAUCGAACCAUCUAGUAGCUGGUUCCCUCCGAAGUUUCCCUCAGGAUAGCUGGCAUACGGAAACUUAAUCAGUUUUAUCCGGUAAAGCGAAUGAUUAGAGGUAUUGGGGACGAAAUGUCCUCAACCUAUUCUCAAACUUUAAAUGGGUGAGAAGCUGGACUCGCCUAAUUGGAGUCUGGCAUUGAAUGAGUAUGCCAAGUGGGCCAUUUUUGGUAAGCAGAACUGGCGCUGUGGGAUGAACCAAACGUCAAGUUAAAGUGCCUAACACGAAGCUCAUAAGAUACCACAAAAGGUGUUGGUUGAUAUAGACAGCAGGACGGUGGCCAUGGAAGUUGGAAUCCGCUAAGGAGUGUGUAACAACUCACCUGCCGAAUCAACCAGCCCUGAAAAUGGAUGGCGCUGAGCUUUGGACUUAUACUUGACCAACACUGUAGACUGAACUGAUUAUAUACAGUGUUGAGUAGGAGGGUCGCCGUGGUGAGCGUUGAAGCUUCGUCUGUGAAGACGAGUGGAGCCGC
Molecule: ribosomal RNA, 1558 nt
Filed under: Monocelis longistyla
Lineage: Eukaryota; Metazoa; Platyhelminthes; Proseriata; Monocelididae
Description: eukaryotic LSU rRNA
Rfam family: Eukaryotic large subunit ribosomal RNA
Source: RNAcentral